Molecule: ribosomal RNA, 520 nt
Filed under: uncultured archaeon
Lineage: Archaea
Description: bacterial SSU rRNA
Rfam family: Archaeal small subunit ribosomal RNA
Source: RNAcentral
CAAACCCAAAAGGUGGGACGGGGCUAUCCCAAGGGCCUCCGCCKAAGGAGGGUUUUUCCCCGCUUUAAGGAGGCGGGGGAAUAAGGAGAGGGCAAGACUGGUGUCAGCCGCCGCGGUAAUACCAGCUCUCCGAGUGGUGGGGAUGUUUAUUGGGCCUAAAGCAUUCGUAGCUUGUUCGGUAAGUCCUCCGUUAAAUCCAGCGAUUUAAUCGUUGGACUGCGGGGGAUACUGCCGGGCUAGGGGGCGGGAGAGGCCGACGGUAUCCUCGGGGUAGGGGUGAAAUCCUAUAAUCCCGGGUAGACCACCAGUGGCGAAGGCUGUCGGCUAGAACGCGCCCGACGGUGAGGGAUGAAAGCUGGGGGAGCGAACCGGAUUAGAUACCCGGGUAGUCCCAGCUGUAAACUAUGCAGGCUAGGUGUUGGAGCGGCUACGAGCCGCUUCGGUGCCGCAGGGAAACUGUUAAGCCUGCCGCCUGGGGAGUACGGCCGCAAGGCUGAAACUUAAAGGAAUUGGCGGGGGA